RNAcentral lists this long non-coding RNA (7055 nucleotides) under Olea europaea subsp. europaea. Lineage: Eukaryota; Viridiplantae; Streptophyta; Magnoliopsida; Lamiales; Oleaceae. The record is from RNAcentral.
AAUAUACUUUAUACAUACCAUGCUAAAUCAAAGAGAAAUUGAAGAACUUGAAAACCCUAGCUUGAAAUAAUCUUCUUUCUUCUUUGUCGUCUUCUUCUUCUUCUUCAUCUUCUUUCUUCCCUUCUUUUUUCUUCUCUCUCAGGUUCUCUCGAGCCUUCUCUCAUUUUCCCCCAAAAUAUGAGAAAAUGAGUAAUAUAGAUGAUAUUUAAUGGAUAAUUAUUGAAUAAUUGCAAGUCAAGUCCCUCCUUUUAUGUUUUAAAUAAAGUCUAGUCAUUAACUUUCCAUUCUUGUAAAAUAAAUCCUCAAAUUUAAAUGAUGUCCAUGUUAAAUCCUCAAGGAUUGUCAAUUUGUAAAAUAACCCCAAUAAAACAAUUCACUCCAUUAAGGUCCUAUUUAACUUUGACUUUGAAAACUCAACUCUUGAUUUUUGACUAGAUAAAUUGGGUUGUAACAUAUGCCCCCUCUCUUCUGAAGGUUGCCUCCGUGUGUUUUAACAACUACAUUUACAGAAACAAUAAUUGACUAUUUUGUGCAUGCAUAUGUAAUGCUAGCAUGUCAAUUUAGCCAUUGUACAUAUCCUCCAAUUCACUCCUUGUUUGUGCACCGGUGAAUAUAAAAUUCAAUUGGAGGUUGGUUUCAUGGCGGCUGAGAAGGCGGCGGAGGGAAUCUCCAAGUGGCUAAUACAGGAAGUGCAGAAAUGGGGUGCCAUGAAACAGAUGGGUGUUAGCGUCUAUUACAUGAUGAAAUUUAGGUCCCGACCCAUCGAUCGAAAUUUGCUCAUUUCUGCUCAAUUCCUCCACAAGGAGUUACCUAUUCGGAUCGCUCGUCGGGCUAUUUAGUUGGAGUCGCUCUCCUAUGGUUUGUCCCAUAAUCCUGCUGUUUUGAACGUAUAUUUUCCCUUCAGGGUUUUCAAUAUUACCUUUUUAUUUAAUUUGGAUUUUGUUUUCCGCAUCUUAUCUUGUUCGAUAAUUUUUGAGAAUUACGGAUUGAUUAAUUUAAAACGGGUGCUUUUUAUCCAUUUAUGUUUUUGAUCGUGUUUUCUGAUUCGGUUGCGAAAUUAUAUUAAAAGCAGACCAUGUGGAUUAACGGACUGCUUAUGCAUCCUUUUGUUUAUCUAAAUGUGUUUUGAUCAUAUUUAAUUGUUUAGUCAUGGAUGAGAAGUUUCAAAUCAUGAUUUAUGUAUAAGAAUGUUCUUCAAUUUAAUUUGCAUGUUUUUUAUUUUCAAAUGAUAUAUGCCCUUUUGGCAUGAAUUGGACAGUGCAUUGUUGGUAAGUACAAUGUGUACCUUCCAUCUACAUCUUUUUAUCGUAUGACCGUGUCUAAUUUAUUUGCACAAUUAUGCGUGGGGAAUUCUAGAUGCACAAUUGGACCAAGUACUUGAUUCUACUCAAUGUUGAGGUAGCUAUUACAUGAUGUUUCAUUGUUUUUUUCUAUUUUUUUGAGAAAAGAUUGUAUUGUACUAACGAUUAAAUACAUGUUGAUUUCUUAUUUGUCCUCUUACUAGGUAAGAGAUUGGUAUUUGAAUUCUUUCCGUGACCUUAGAUCCUUUCCAGUUAUUAAGGCUAAGAAUGAUGAGUUAGAAUUCACCUAAAUGAUUAAGAUGAUCAAAGUUAGGUACAACAAUGUGGUCCCUAUGAUGGCUUUAGGAGUUCAACAGUUGAAGAAAGAUCUAGAUCCGAAAAUUGAUUUUGAGGAUCUCGGUGAAAUUCAUCAGUUUCUGGAUUGAUUUUAUAUGUCAAGAAUUGGGAUCCAAAUGCUAAUUGGUUAGCCUUUUUUGUUUGCCUGCUUCCAUUCUUACGGGCACAUCUAGUAUUGUUGUUGCGAUACUUAUUUGUAGUAUUGCUAAACAACUUUCAAUUUGCUUCAAAUGAUAACCUCAUGGUAGCAUGUGGCAUUGCACGAUCCAAACCCACCCCCUGAUUGUGUAGUUUAUGGUCAUACGAAAAUGUCCCCUAUUGAGGUUGCAAAAUGUGAUAGUGAGGAUACCCGUUCAAUUUGUUUGUCGGAGUAUGGUAGUGCUCCCACUACAACAAAAACAGCCUUUUAUGACAUUCCUUUACAGCGUGCAUCUAUGGCAUGUUGUAAAAAUAGACUAAUUACGGCGUGCGCUAUAUGUAUGCCGUAAAAGAUUAAUUAAUUAAAGUAUUUAUGGCGUACAUCCUUUGCACGCCAUAUUAAAUGAGAAUUUACGGCAUGCUUUUAGUGCUUGUAGUGUAUGUAAAAAAAUUAAAAUUUACGAAGCCCGCCAAUCUUUUACAGAAACGGCCCAAAUAGUUAAACUUAAAUCCCUCAAAAUUGAAAAGAGCACGAACAGCAGAGUUCAUCCCGCGACUACAGAGAAAUCACUCAAAAUCUGUCGAUCACUGUGAGUCACCGACGCCAUUGGAAGUAUUUGAUUUCAAUUUAUUUCUUUUUCUCACCAUUGCUCGGAUCUCUCCACUUCCCGUAAGCUUCAAUGAACCCUAACAUUCUAAUUCCGGCUUCAGAAUGUUUGAUAUUAUAUUUGUUUGUUAAAACUUGAGGAGGGUUUCUAUUUGAAAAUGAGUUGUUGGGGCCUGGGUAUUAUGUUUAUGUGAUUUGUGGGAUUGAAUGUAGGUGGGAAUUGAUUUGGGCAUGCAUUGGGCAGUGGCCAACGAGUAGCUAUUUCACAACAUUUAGUGCCAAAAUACGAUUUCAUUAUUGAUUUGGAAUGAUUAGAAUCUAUAGUAAGCUUCAGUCACCAAACUUGUAACAUGUCUAUCUACCUUUAAAUUUAUCACCCAAUUAUAAUUUUCUCUAAACUAUGCUCAAAUGGGAACAUAUAUGUACAUGGUAAAAACAAUUCCAUUACUCUGAUUAAAGAUCCUAUUUUACUCUGAGAUGUGUGUACAUGGUGACCCUAUUUACUGUAUAGAUGCUGAAAAAUCCAGUCCACUUCCUCCUGCAAACAAUUUUGCAUCAAGAAACAGAUUUGUAGGCUCAAAAUGUAUCGAGGUCAGGACUGAAGAGAGACAAAUCUCAGACUUCUAAAUUUGCUAUGUGCCAAUCUACAAACCGAGCUUGAAUUGUCUUGAACAAUAGCAGGAUGGUGGGUAAAAGCCACCAUCUCUCAUCCUCCUUGCCAUUACAAAAAAUUGAACUCUCAAUAAUCUACCACAAAACCUAUAGCGCCUGAGCCUCAGUUCCUAAUAUCCCUGGGGGGAUGUUAGGAAGUUUAAGUCAACAAAAUUGAAUAAUCUUAUCUUUGUGAGACUAGAUAGGCUUUUCUUCUACUCUAGUGGCUUUCCCUAUGUAUUCUCAUUCUUAUCUCUAUUCUAUAUAUUUUGAAGUGAUUUUUCAUUUAAAUCUGGUGAAAGCAGAGUUCCUGCACCACCAGUUCAUUCUGUGCAUGGUAUAGUAACUAUUGGGAAUGUACUUUGGAAAGUCUCGGGUAUGACUUGUAUAACUUGUUUUAAACGCUUGGAGAUAAAAUGCCUUUUGCUAAAGGAGGGACUAUUCUCAUUCAUAAAAUGGGAAUAUGAGAUGAUCUUAAAUUAUAGAUAAUUGCAGAGAUUGGUGAAUUCAUUAAUUUAUGCUCAUGUUAGAUUUUUUAGCCUAUAAAUUUUUGCAGAAGUUUUGCAUGUUAUGUUGGAGUUAUUUCAUCGAUGUUUAUGCUUCAUAGUUUUUGCAAUUUCAAUGGUGUUUAUAGGAAAUUGUUUUGGAAAGUUCGUGCUUCGUUUUCAAUUUCAAUUGCUUCUUUACGGUAAUGUAUUCAUUGACCAUUUCUAGCAGUGGCAUACAAUGGAAUGAACUAUGGACCAAAUGAAGUUGGAGGGAAGUAUCAGACCAAUCGGGUUCAGAACAAGGUCUACUAUGAUCUUCACACAUUUUGACUAAACUUUUUUCUAGUUGUGUUGCAGCCAAAAUGUUGGAUUGGAAUUUUAUUCUUAAAUAAAUGCCUUGUUGGUAUAUAUGGUCUCUGAACUUAAUUACAAAAUAUUCUUUUCAUUUACUAAGAGGUAGGAAAAAUGUGGCUCUAAACACAUCUCUUCUCACCACUGCUCCAAAUUUCCUGUAACUGGGUUUUGAGACUAGCCUUUUUGGUUCUCAUUCCCCCUUUAAGUUCGUAGUCGUUAAUAUAAUUUUAUAAAUUGCUAGCUAUCAUUCUUAUGAAUUUUAUGGUCUCGUUAUUUUCACAAAUGGACCUUUUGUUUAUGAUAGUGACUAAAGAAUAUUAAUUCUCGUUGCCACCAUUUAUCUAGUCUAGUUUCUUUAUAAAUUGAUCUAUGAUGUCUUGUGGUUAACCUUCGGCUAUGGUUUUGAGUCACAUUGUCCUGGUUUUUAUUUUUCUUUUUAGUUGCUGUUAGUUAAAUAACGUAGAUGCAUAUUCUUUCAUUACUUGAAAUUGGAUUGGUUCAUGAAGUCCAAGAAGUUGCACAAGUAAUGGAGUCAAAAGCACAAGUAGCCAUGACUUGGGUAUGUCUAGUUUGCUCUUCUAGCAAUUUUUUUAUCUUAUUUUACUUGUUUUGUUGUUUACUCUUAAAUUUUGGACAAGAACCAUAACAAAGAGGACCUUACUCAUAAAUUUCAGUAGCCAUAUACACCAGGCCAAGUGAAAUGAAAUUGAUGUUUGUUACUUGGUAUUUAUUUCAUAAAGGUACACCAUGAUUAAUUACUUUUCCUCUUUAUUUUUGGUUCCAGGACUAUUCAGUCUCACAGACUAAAAAAAAGCAUAUGGCAUGUAGCAAUUCGGUAUCCGUUGACCAUGUUACAAGCUACAAAUCUGGUCCAAAUGCUUGCUUGCCAACAGAAGAUCACCAUGAUUGUGGGAUGUCUUCAAUAUGGGUCGAAUAUUUUGUACUAUUUUAAUAAGUUAUUUUUGGAGUUGUAAUCGAUACUUUUGGUAUAUUGAUAUCGACUUUUUGACUAAGCUAAUGAUGUUCUCUACAUUUUUGAAUAUUGUAUUUGAUAGCACUUAAUAUUUUUAUUCAUUGAAAUUAUGCAAAACAUGAUUAUAUUAUAUGUGUUAGUAUAUAUAGUCCUUUUAAUUAUUAAUUAUUAUAAGCUUGUUGGUAAAUAAAUAAAUAAAUAUUUUUAACAAAUGAAAUUCACAUUUACGGCAUGUAAGUGCACGCCAUAAAAGAGUUGAGUAUUUAUAGCAUGCAAGUGCACGCCGUGAAAAAUAUAUUAAUGGCAUGUUUUUCAUUGCAUGCCGUAAAAGGAUGCUAGUAUUUACGGCAUGACUUUCUAUGGCAUGAGCCUAUACGUCGUAAAUAACUUUGCACACCUUAAAGAGUAAACUUUGUUGUAGUAUCCGAAUGUCAAUAUCUAUGGGGAUCCUAACUUUAAUUUUCCGUAAGUUACUUUAGUCUUUAUCUCAAUGUACAUAGUUUUCAAUCAUGCAGUGUCUUUUUUCAGCUGCUAAAUAUUAUUUGAAGCUGAAGUUUUUAGAAGUUUCUCCUUUUCCUUAUUAACUUUUUUUUUUUUUUUUUUAUUUGGUGCUCCUAUGGCAGCCACGAAUUACAAAUGUCUGGAAAAGCUCUAUUGCUAUUUCGCGCGACAAGGUAAACCUUAUGCGAAAGAAAAAAAACAUAAGUAUACGCUUUAGGUCGACAUAUAUCUCUAUCGGCUGACAAAGCAAGAAGAAUAAUUGAUCAAAUUUGUGGAUGCUCCUAUGAGGAAACACUUAUGCGUUUGAUUACCCACAAGUGAACGAGAUCGUAAACAGAUAAUAAAGUGGUGUGUAAAGUGUCGAACCCACGAUGACUAUAUGUUUGAUCGAGUUAAAGCUAAUAAUUCCCUUAUUCGAAUAGCAAGGUCGAGUUGUAACUAACUUUAUUAAAUCUAUCAAUUAAAUAGAAAGCAAAGAAAAAGUUUAUCAAAUUUGCGAGAAGUAUUACUAAGAUGUGGAAUCCUCUUUGCUACUCCAUUUUAGUUCGAUAAUUUAAACUGACAAUUUGAAAUCAUGCUUGUUGGUCAAUGUUCCUAUUUUAUUUAAAAGCCUAUUUCGAUAGUAAUUAAAUCUAAUCCUACACUUGAUUUUACUAUAUCUCUAUGAAAAAUACGAACGUCUAAAAAAAUAUUAACGAGCUAGAACAUCUUUAACAACCAUGUAAAGCAUCGAGGUAUAUCUCUAUUAUCUAUCGAAUCUCACGUCGUCUAUUAUUAGGAGCUAAAGAUCCUAUUAUCUCUCUCGAUGACAAUAAAAUCCACAAACAAUUCAAUUAUUGGCCAAGUAAUUGAAAAACAAGUUAAACCAUAGUAAACACCCAAACAAUUAAGCGAAUUUAACGUCAAGGAAUUAAAUAAAUAAAGUUGGAGCAACAUCACCGAGUAAUUGACGGAACGUGAAUGAUUUCCAAAUUCCUUCCAAAGCUGCCACCUCAAUCUGCGUCGGUUCCAAAUUAAUUCAUGUAAUCAGCCGCCAAUUUGUAUAUAUUUUUUUGCGCUUUUCUUCUAUGUUUUUCUCCAGCCAACUGCUGACUUUAUUUGCAGCAACCAACUGAAAUUUUUGACUCCAAAACAACUCGCCAAAUCAGCCGAAAUCGCUUUCAGUUUCUGCCACUUUUCUCCACAAGCUACCGCUUUUUAUCCUUCAGUUUCUGUCCCCCCCCCCCCCCCCCCCCCCCCCCCACCGUCCGUUUUCUGUUGGCAUUUAUAUAUGAUUUCUACAGCAGCCUACUUUUUUGUAGUCCAAUUCCCAGCAACUCGGCUUUUGUUUUGUGCCUAAUCUAAUAAUCUUGGCUGCUUCUCUCUGCGUGUAUGUGUGUAUAUAUCAACUCCAGGAGGCUACUAUCUGUGUAUAUAAAAUCAAUUCCAGCCGCCUAUAUACGUGUACAAUAAUCAAUCCCCAAAUUGGCUGCUAAUGCUUGAUUUUAUAAUCCUCACAUCAACUUUAAUGCUUUAACUUGUGCAAUUCCAGCCCCUUUUUUUUUAUCAAAUUCAGCCACCCAAUUGUAUUGGUAAUCCAAUGUUUUCCCUUAGCCGGCUCUCUCUACGUGUACAAUCUCCCUCAACUCCUUUUCUUUUAGCCUCCCUUGCUCCAAGAAAACUGCCGUCUUCUAUAUAUAUAUUCAAGCUGGAAACCCUUUUUGAAU